UACGGCCGCAUCAAAUCGAAACACCGGUUCCAGUACGAUCACUGAAGUUAAGUAACGUCGAGCCUGAUCAGUAACUAUAUGGGUGACCACUUGGGAAUACCUGGUGCAGUA
Molecule: non-coding RNA, 111 nt
Organism: Acanthosepion pharaonis
Lineage: Eukaryota; Metazoa; Mollusca; Cephalopoda; Sepiida; Sepiidae
Source: the annotation of a GenBank genome assembly